Acanthosepion pharaonis is the source of this 114-nucleotide non-coding RNA. The record is from the annotation of a GenBank genome assembly. NCBI's taxonomy places the organism in Eukaryota, Metazoa, Mollusca, Cephalopoda, Sepiida, Sepiidae.
UUACGGCCAUAUCAUGUGGAAACGCCGGUUUUCGUACGAUCACCAAAGUUAAGCAACGUCGACACUGUUCAGUAUCUACAUGGAUGACCGCUUGGGAAUACCAGAUGCUGUAAU